This 219-nucleotide long non-coding RNA is filed under the name Amborella trichopoda. Its description in RNAcentral is "long non-coding RNA (ATRI_LNC003580)". Lineage: Eukaryota; Viridiplantae; Streptophyta; Magnoliopsida; Amborellales; Amborellaceae. The record is from RNAcentral.
CCGUAUCAGUACCAGUGUCCUCUUGUUUUUCUCUCUUCAGGUUUUAAUCAGGCUUUGGCCUGGUUGAAUGAAUUUUCUUGAUCUAAGGAUGGCUGAAACUAGGGUUUUUCAGGUCUCGCGAUCUCAUUUUCUCUGGGCUCUCUCUCUCUCUCUUUCUCGCUCUCUCUCUCUCUGGGCUCUCUCUGUCUCUAGAUUUCCUACCCUCUCACGUCCCACCUU